UACAGAGGGGGCAAGCGUUGUUCGGAAUUACUGGGCGUAAAGGGCGCGUAGGCGGCCUGCUAAGUCGAACGUGAAAUCCCUGGGCUCAACCCAGGAACUGCGUCCGAUACUGGUUGGCUUGAAUUCGGGAGAGGGAUGCGGAAUUCCAGGUGUAGCGGUGAAAUGCGUAGAUAUCUGGAGGAACACCGGUGGCGAAGGCGGCAUCCUGGACCGAGAUUGACGCUGAGGCGCGAAAGCCAGGGCAGCAAACGGG
RNAcentral lists this ribosomal RNA (253 nucleotides) under uncultured bacterium. RNAcentral describes it as "partial 16S ribosomal RNA". It matches the Rfam family "Bacterial small subunit ribosomal RNA", at positions 524 to 776 of the family's 1533-position model. The record is from RNAcentral.